This 112-nucleotide transfer RNA is filed under the name Choiromyces venosus 120613-1. It matches the Rfam family "tRNA". Rfam says of the family: Transfer RNA (tRNA) molecules are approximately 80 nucleotides in length. The record is from Rfam by way of RNAcentral. Lineage: Eukaryota; Fungi; Ascomycota; Pezizomycetes; Pezizales; Tuberaceae.
GGAAGGAUGGCCGAGUGGUUAUGGCGUGUGACUCAAGCAUCUGCUUCUUCGCUUUCUAAAGUGGGGUUUCUCAUGGGCUUAGCCCGCGGGGGUUCGAAUCCCCCUCCUUUCA